GGGCUUGACAUCCCACGAACCUGCUGAAAGGCAGGAGUGCCCGCAAGGGAGCGCGGAGACAGGUGGUGCAUGGCUGUCGUCAGCUCGUGUCGUGAGAUGUUGGGUUAAGUCCCGCAACGAGCGCAACCCUUGUCAUUAGUUGCUACAUUUAGUUGGGCACUCUAAUGAGACUGCCGAUGACAAACCGGAGGAAGGUGGGGAUGACGUCAAGUCCUCAUGGCCCUUAUGCGUAGGGCUUCACACGUCAUACAAUGGUCGGUACAGAGGGUCGCCACACCGCGAGGUAGAGCUAAACCCAAAAAGCCGGUCUAAGUUCAGAUUGGAGUCUGCAACUCGACUCCAUGAAGGAGGAAUCGCUAGUAAUCGCGUAUCAGCACGACGCGGUGAAUACGUUCCCGGGCCUUGUACACACCGCCCGUCACACCACGAAAGCCAGCUGUACUCGAAGUCGCUGAG
RNAcentral lists this ribosomal RNA (456 nucleotides) under uncultured bacterium. RNAcentral's name for it is "bacterial SSU rRNA". It matches the Rfam family "Bacterial small subunit ribosomal RNA", at positions 977 to 1434 of the family's 1533-position model. The record is from RNAcentral.